RNAcentral lists this long non-coding RNA (281 nucleotides) under Lathyrus oleraceus (garden pea). Its description in RNAcentral is "Pisum sativum (pea) long non-coding RNA (PSAT_LNC005146)". The record is from RNAcentral. Lineage: Eukaryota; Viridiplantae; Streptophyta; Magnoliopsida; Fabales; Fabaceae.
UGAUUUGGGAAGAGGUUGACAGAAGGUGGCAGUUUGGAUCAUCCGGCGUGUGAUUUUUCUGGUAGAGGUGAAGGCGUGUGUAAUCGUUGUGGGAGCAGGUGGCAUUAAUUGAUGAUUGUGCAAUGGGGGUUUGGUUUUCUUGUGGAAAGAAGAAGAUGCUUUAUUUUGUUUUUUCUUUUUGUUUUCUGUUUUUUUUCACAGAGAGAGAGAGAGAGUUCUUUUGAUUCUCUUUUUCUUUUUCUUCUUUUUUUUAGCGUGAGUGAUUGAGAAGAGUAGGUUAC